CAGUAGCGUAUAUUAAAGUUGUUGCAGUUAAAAAGCUCGUAGUUGGAUUUGUGGUGUACUUCGGCGGCCCGUCACUAUGUGAUGGAGCUUGCUGAAGUCGCCAUCCUUGGGUGGAUCCUGUGUGGCAUUAAGUUGUCGUGCAGGGGAUGCCCAUCGUUUACUGUGAAAAAAUUAGAGUGUUCAAAGCAGGCUUAUGCCGUUGAAUAUAUUAGCAUGGAAUAAUAAGAUAGGACCUUGGUACUAUUUUGUUGGUUUGCGCACCAAGGUAAUGAUUAAUAGGGACAGUUGGGGGUAUUCGUAUUUCAUUGUCAGAGGUGAAAUUCUUGGAUUUUUGAAAGACGAACUACUGCGAAAGCAUUUACCAAGGAUGUUUUCAUUAA
Molecule: ribosomal RNA, 380 nt
Filed under: uncultured eukaryote
Lineage: Eukaryota
Description: partial 18S ribosomal RNA
Rfam family: Eukaryotic small subunit ribosomal RNA
Source: RNAcentral